RNAcentral lists this ribosomal RNA (1136 nucleotides) under Lacticaseibacillus casei. Its description in RNAcentral is "bacterial SSU rRNA". It matches the Rfam family "Bacterial small subunit ribosomal RNA", at positions 62 to 1127 of the family's 1533-position model. The record is from RNAcentral. Lineage: Bacteria; Bacillati; Bacillota; Bacilli; Lactobacillales; Lactobacillaceae.
CCCUACCACGCAAUCCGUAGUGCUAUGCUGCCAGUCGAACGAGUUCUCGUUGAUGAUCGGUGCUUGCACCGAGAUUCAACAUCGUUAGAGUGGCGGACGGGUGAGUAACACGUGGGUAACCUGCCCUUAAGUGGGGGAUAACAUUUGGAAACAGAUGCUAAUACCGCAUAGAUCCAAGAACCGCAUGGUUCUUGGCUGAAAGAUGGCGUAAGCUAUCGCUUUUGGAUGGACCCGCGGCGUAUUAGCUAGUUGGUGAGGUAAUGGCUCACCAAGGCGAUGAUACGUAGCCGAACUGAGAGGUUGAUCGGCCACAUUGGGACUGAGACACGGCCCAAACUCCUACGGGAGGCAGCAGUAGGGAAUCUUCCACAAUGGACGCAAGUCUGAUGGAGCAACGCCGCGUGAGUGAAGAAGGCUUUCGGGUCGUAAAACUCUGUUGUUGGAGAAGAAUGGUCGGCAGAGUAACUGUUGUCGGCGUGACGGUAUCCAACCAGAAAGCCACGGCUAACUACGUGCCAGCAGCCGCGGUAAUACGUAGGUGGCAAGCGUUAUCCGGAUUUAUUGGGCGUAAAGCGAGCGCAGGCGGUUUUUUAAGUCUGAUGUGAAAGCCCUCGGCUUAACCGAGGAAGCGCAUCGGAAACUGGGAAACUUGAGUGCAGAAGAGGACAGUGGAACUCCAUGUGUAGCGGUGAAAUGCGUAGAUAUAUGGAAGAACACCAGUGGCGAAGGCGGCUGUCUGGUCUGUAACUGACGCUGAGGCUCGAAAGCAUGGGUAGCGAACAGGAUUAGAUACCCUGGUAGUCCAUGCCGUAAACGAUGAAUGCUAGGUGUUGGAGGGUUUCCGCCCUUCAGUGCCGCAGCUAACGCAUUAAGCAUUCCGCCUGGGGAGUACGACCGCAAGGUUGAAACUCAAAGGAAUUGACGGGGGCCCGCACAAGCGGUGGAGCAUGUGGUUUAAUUCGAAGCAACGCGAAGAACCUUACCAGGUCUUGACAUCUUUUGAUCACCUGAGAGAUCAGGUUUCCCCUUCGGGGGCAAAAUGACAGGUGGUGCAUGGUUGUCGUCAGCUCGUGUCGUGAGAUGUUGGGUUAAGUCCCGCAACGAGCGCAACCCUUAUGACUAGUUGCCAGCAUUAA